AGCUCCAAUAGCGUAUAUUAAAGUUGUUGCAGUUAAAAAGCUCGUAGUUGGAUUUCUGGUGUGAGAGUUGCUUCCCACUUCUUAGUGGGUUUGCAUCUCUUGUACCAUCCUUGAGCAGCACGUACUGGUAUUAACUUAUCGGUGCGACAGUUGCUCAUCGUUUACUGUGAGAAAAUUAGAGUGUUCAAAGCAGGCUUAUGCCGUUGAAUAUAUUAGCAUGGAAUAAUAAGAUAGGACCUCGGUACUAUUUUGUUGGUUUGAGAACCAAGGUAAUGAUCAAAAGGGACAGUUGGGGAUAUUCGUAUUUAGUUGUCAGAGGUGAAAUUCUUAGAUUUACGAAAGACGAACUACUGCGAAAGCAUUUAUCAAGGAUGUUUUCAUUA
This 383-nucleotide ribosomal RNA is filed under the name Chaetoceros sp. Its description in RNAcentral is "partial small subunit ribosomal RNA". It matches the Rfam family "Eukaryotic small subunit ribosomal RNA", at positions 587 to 975 of the family's 1831-position model. The record is from RNAcentral. Lineage: Eukaryota; Bacillariophyta; Thalassiosirophyceae; Chaetocerotales; Chaetocerotaceae.